UACGAAGGGGGCGAGCGUUGUUCGGAUUUACUGGGCGUAAAGGGCGCGUAGGCGGCUUGACAAGUCACUUGUGAAAUCUCCGGGCUUAACUCGGAACGGCCAAGUGAAACUGUCAUGCUAGAGUGCAGAAGGGGCAAUCGGAAUUCUUGGUGUAGCGGUGAAAUGCGUAGAUAUCAAGAGGAACACCUGAGGUGAAGACGGGUUGCUGGGCUGACACUGACGCUGAGGCGCGAAAGCCAGGGGAGCAAACGGG
RNAcentral lists this ribosomal RNA (253 nucleotides) under uncultured bacterium. Its description in RNAcentral is "partial 16S ribosomal RNA". It matches the Rfam family "Bacterial small subunit ribosomal RNA", at positions 524 to 776 of the family's 1533-position model. The record is from RNAcentral.